UACGGGGGGGGCAAGCGUUGUUCGGAAUUACUGGGCGUAAAGGGCUCGUAGGCGGCCAACUAAGUCGGAUGUGAAAUCCCCAGGCUUAACCUGGGAACUGCGUGUGAUACUGGAUGGCUUGAAUCCGGGAGAGGGAUGCGGAAUUCCAGGUGUAGCGGUGAAAUGCGUAGAUAUCUGGAGGAAUACCGGUGGCGAAGGCGGCAUCCUGGACCGAGAUUGACACUGAGUGAGCGAAAGCCAGGGGAGCAAACGGG
RNAcentral lists this ribosomal RNA (254 nucleotides) under uncultured bacterium. Its description in RNAcentral is "partial 16S ribosomal RNA". It matches the Rfam family "Bacterial small subunit ribosomal RNA", at positions 524 to 776 of the family's 1533-position model. The record is from RNAcentral.